CUGAAGAAAACCCAUUAGUCUAAACAGGAGGAUCAACGAGGGGAAAACUGUAGGUAUGGAGGGAGUGUUGCCGAGUGAUGUGUGGACAACUCACCUUCAUUGUGAUGCAAACAUCUGAUGUCUACAGAGAAGAAAAGUUGCAGAGCAGAGAACAAUGUUUGUCUUGUUGGAGGUUUAUAGGAACAUUGUGACCAGACCUACAUGGACAGCUGCAAGAACGAAGGAUUCCAGGAUCAAGAACUCUGCAACA
This 250-nucleotide long non-coding RNA is filed under the name Capra hircus (goat). RNAcentral's name for it is "lncRNA (ENSCHIG00000002427.1)". Lineage: Eukaryota; Metazoa; Chordata; Mammalia; Artiodactyla; Bovidae. The record is from RNAcentral.